This 504-nucleotide ribosomal RNA is filed under the name uncultured bacterium. RNAcentral's name for it is "partial 16S ribosomal RNA". It matches the Rfam family "Bacterial small subunit ribosomal RNA", at positions 28 to 506 of the family's 1533-position model. The record is from RNAcentral.
GACGAACGCUGGCGGCGUGCCUAAUACAUGCAAGUAGAACGCACAGUUUAUACCGUAGCUUGCUACACCAUAGACUGUGAGUUGCGAACGGGUGAGUAACGCGUAGGUAACCUGCCUGGUAGCGGGGGAUAACUAUUGGAAACGAUAGCUAAUACCGCAUAAUAUUGAUUAUUGCAUGAUAAUUGAUUGAAAGAUGCUAUUGCAUCACUACCAGAUGGACCUGCGUUGUAUUAGCUAGUAGGUGAGGUAACGGCUCACCUAGGCGACGAUACAUAGCCGACCUGAGAGGGUGAUCGGCCACACUGGGACUGAGACACGGCCCAGACUCCUACGGGAGGCAGCAGUAGGGAAUCUUCGGCAAUGGACGAAAGUCUGACCGAGCAACGCCGCGUGAGUGAAGAAGGUUUUCGGAUCGUAAAGCUCUGUUGUAAGAGAAGAACGGGUGUGAGAGUGGAAAGUUCACACUGUGACGGUAUCUUACCAGAAAGGGACGGCGAACUACGU